GAGGCGAACCGGGGGAACUGAAACAUCUAAGUACCCCGAGGAAAAGAAAUCAACCGAGAUUCCGAAAGUAGCGGCGAGCGAAAUUGGACUAGCCCUUAAGCUUUACACGCGUUAGACGAACGGUCUGGAAAGUCCGACGAUACAGGGUGAUAGUCCCGUAGUUGACGACGUGUGUUCAGUGAAAUCGAGUAGGGCGGGACACGUGAUAUCCUGUCUGAAUAUGGGGGGACCAUCCUCCAAGGCUAAAUACUACUGACUGACCGAUAGUGAACCAGUACCGU
RNAcentral lists this ribosomal RNA (281 nucleotides) under Vibrio parahaemolyticus. RNAcentral describes it as "partial 23S ribosomal RNA". It matches the Rfam family "Bacterial large subunit ribosomal RNA", at positions 176 to 504 of the family's 2925-position model. Lineage: Bacteria; Pseudomonadati; Pseudomonadota; Gammaproteobacteria; Vibrionales; Vibrionaceae. The record is from RNAcentral.